RNAcentral lists this long non-coding RNA (270 nucleotides) under Bos taurus (domestic cattle). Its description in RNAcentral is "long non-coding RNA NONBTAT019282". Lineage: Eukaryota; Metazoa; Chordata; Mammalia; Artiodactyla; Bovidae. The record is from RNAcentral.
CGGCAGUGCAGAACCUGGGAAAGUCAUGGCCUUAGGAAUGUCCUCUGAUGAAGAAGAAUCUGCAGGCUUAUAAUAUUGUGUGGAAUGUUGCUGUGUUGAAAAGCAGUAGUUGUGUGUGCUUCUCCGCUUCGGUCUGGAUCAGCAGGGCUGAGGCAGUGGGUGUACAUAUUACAGAAGUGUGAGCAGAGACCAGAAGCCAAAGGCACAUCUGCUUACAAAUAGCACUGGACCAGGAAUGGAAGUCUCAUUCAAAUAUUGGUAGUCAGCUCA